Planococcus citri (citrus mealybug) is the source of this 5037-nucleotide long non-coding RNA. RefSeq lists it as uncharacterized. NCBI's taxonomy places the organism in Eukaryota, Metazoa, Arthropoda, Insecta, Hemiptera, Pseudococcidae. The record is from RefSeq and is a predicted model, not a curated record. The transcript has 2 exons.
CAGAACAAAGUUAUCAAGAGGAGUUGAAGGUCGUGUUUGAACACUUCAGCGGUUUAAAAAUGCUGGAAAAACUGUAAAAAGUUACCGGAGGCUCCAAAUCGUGCCACAACUAGUACUUAUUAAAUAAUUUGUUGAUGCGACGAAGGGGAGUGGUUGGUUCGAAGAAAUUUUGCACAUUGGUUUGGUUCACGUAUUUGUUGAAAAAAAUUUAUAUUUCAAAAAAUGUUUUCAAAUCACUCUUGAAACAACAUUUUAAAAUUUUUUUGAAUUUUCAAAAAUUUGUCAAAAAUUUAAAAAUGAACGUCAGGAAUUGAAAUUAUAGUUACGAUAGUUAGUUGUAGUGCAGGGCAUGCUUGAAUAACUUGAAAAAAUAGUUAAGCACGUAUACAAAUUACGUGAGCUGGGUCUACGAAAAAUGAUCAAAUCGUUUGUCUGAAAAAAAUUCUGUUCGGUUUAAACACAGCACAAAGGCAAAAAAAAUCCAUAAUAACGCCGUUUAAGUUAGCCUAUGCAACCUUGAAAUCAGCUGCGAAAAACAACCCCUAACAUCGGCGACUGGUCGACGCCAAACAUCGAACUUCUACAGACCAUAUCGACUAUCGUAUGCAACGAAAUUCUGUUUUUAUGAAUUUCGGCUAUAUAUAAGAACAACGUGAAAAGUCUCGUUUGAUGGAAUUUUUAUCAUAAUUUCGUUUUAUCUUCAUCGCAGAAAAGAAUGAGUUCAAUUUUUUAUUCUGCCAAUUUCAACGUAGGUACCUAUGAAAUGAAAUAAUUUGAAAUGUGAAUUUGUUUCUUGUUCGUAACAUUUUCCAACUGUGACAGAGGGAAACUGCAUAUUCUGUAUAUGGGAUGGAUAUCGAGAGGAAUUGAUGGAAUGUUAUACCUACUUAUACGCUCCUUGCCAAUUGAGCUGGAAUGCACGAAUAUCGAACCUGCAUUACUGUUUGUGACACGUACCAAUUUCCCCCUUGAUUUUCGCAUUGAAGACUGAUCUACAAAGAAAAAGGAUUACUAAUGGAGAUCUUCAAAUUUAUUAUUUUAACAUGGCUCACCAGCUUCAUACCUGCAGCAUAUUGUCAAAUGGGAAACUCUAGCUCAGAUUUGAUUUGCAACAUCACCAUCUUCAAAGAGGAUGGCACUUAUCCUGGAGCUGUAAUAGACGUGUGGCAAUCACAAAUGAUAGACACGUGCCUCGAAAAUUACACAGAAGAAGACAUUAUUACAAGUUGCGAGCGUUUGAACAAUUUAAAGAGCGCUGAUCCGGAUUUAUUUAUUCCGAUAACAAACAACAUUACUAACAUAACUUACACAAAUAAAUAUUGCGGGUAUUGUAACAACGACAAUGAAACGAAUUGGAAGUGGAGUUACUGGAAUUCUUGGACAACGUUUAGAUUUUUGAAAGACCCAUGCAGUAAAUACACAUCAAAAAUAAAAGCAUCAGAAGUUAAUGACCUUGACAAAUGGACUGAGACUUUCCUCAGUGACGGGAUGAUAUUGGAAGCCACUUCUUAUCUCAGAAAAUUGCAGUGCUCUGGAAAACAAAACUGGUCAAUUAACUUGAUAAAGGUUGUGAUUCCAUGUUUAGUGGAAAAUUAUUUGUAUGGUCAAUACGACAGAUUGAUUUCGUGCCAAUAUUAUGAGAAAAAUGGUCGAAGUUGUACUCACAUGGAGUUCCUCAUCGAUGGAUACUCUUUUCAAUAUCGUGAAAAGAACAAGUUUUAUCGUCACUUAUCAGAAAUAAAUCUUACUGGAGGUGACUAUAUCGUCGAAACUCAGAAAGAUGAUGUAUUUUAUAUGUGUAGACAAAUUUACCACGCUGCAUAUUGGGGUAAACUUGUUCGCAUCGGUAUUUCCAUAGUAUCUCUAUUUAUUUAUUUAUUCGUGAAUUUCGAAAAGCAAUAUUUUGAGAUUUUCUCAAACCAACUUUUGUAUAUUUAUUCGAUAGGAUUGAUAGUAAUGUGUGUUCUGUUUACCUACAUCUAUUUACAAUUCCCAGUCUCAGACGUUUCCUUCAACGUUGCUAAAAUUUUUUGGGGUUAUCACUCGUCCUGGACGAUCAUAAUUUUUAUUGUAUUUUGUAAUACAGCUUUAUGCAUGUGCAACCGAUGCGAAAGUAUAGCUGAAGGGAAUACAAAUGGAUACUAUUCAGUGUUUAUUUUCGUUUUUGGCCUCUUAUUACCUUUUUUCUUACCCAUAAUGUAUCUCAGGUACUUAGAAACCAAUGAAAAUCAGUGUCCCUCAAUUCCCAGUCAUUUGGCUGUGCCGGACGAUCGUAGUCAAAUUUUAUGGUUUUUUGAAUUCAUCUUGGACCCAAACUUGGCUUUCUUAAUGCCUACAGUAUUUGUGGUGGGAAUAUUUUGCAUACUGGUUGAUGUGUCUCGUGACUCUGAUGCAAGGAACACGAUGAAUUCUCCUGUUACUUUAUUAAAAAUGGAAUUGAUUAUGGGUAUUCAUUGGGUACUGUACAAACUUUGUUUGGGGUAUUAUGGGAAUGAGAAUUCGUACACUGUUAUUGGCCUAUCCAUAGAUAUGGAUACGAUAGCACAGUUGAGCAUUGAUAUUCAUGGUGUGCUUGUAUUUUUCGUUUUAAUAAAUGAAAAUAGCAUUAAUGGCAUUUUGAACAAGUUUGGAUAUAGACGAGGAAAUACUAUUCAACAGAACAGUUAUGGUGCGACAGAGACAACUGUACGAUAUCAGUUUUGAAACGUUUUAAUAUUGUCAGAAGAAUAUUUUACGUAGGUAUUGCUUCGUUAGGUACUAUAUUUUAUUUGAAAUAAAAAUGCAAUACCUGUGAGUGUGAGGAUGAAAAGUAGACAAAAUUUUAUACUUUUACACGUAAAAAUUUUUCAAACAAAAAUUUUUGUAUCCUUUUUGUUAUUUGCAAAAUUGAGUUUGGAGCCAUCUUUGCGCCUCAAAAAGUUCAAUAACUCAAAUAGUCAACAUUUACCAUUUUUGCAGUUUAGAUGAAAAAUAUUGGCAAUAAUGAAAAAUUUGUAAUUGGCAUAAUUGAAGAGUGGUUUUCCAAAAGGGAAUAAAUCAUUUUUUUUUGAAAAUCAAGUUUUUCACGCCAUUGUGUUCUAUACAGGGUGCCAAGAAAUAUCGUGAACCCCGAAGAAAGUUUUUUUUUUUUAUUAAAAAUAUAGGUUGGCAAUGCGAAAUGGAUGCGUGUAUGAUUGGUGGAAUGUUAUCACCUCAGUCUAACAACCAAUCAUGCGCUAUCAUUAUUAUCAUUCACUGUGAUGAACCAAAACAUUUGGCAGAAAACUUUUUUAGGGGUUCACGAUAGUUCUGGACACCCUGUAGGUUGUAUCUCACCUAUUUAUAAUGCCUUACCUACCCAAAAUACCUAUUUAUUUACGCGCAAUACAGCUUUUCUGUAAGUUUGCAGAUUGCAAUUGUUUUUCCAAGAUGCAAUAAGUCAUGAUUACUCUGUUUUCAUUAAUUUUAUAGCGAAAGUAGAGCUGUGAACAAUGUUUUUUUUUAAUAGAUAUUAUUACUGUAAUACUUUAUUUUCAUUUUUAUUGUCAAAAUGGAGGUAAAUUUUUUUAAAAUGAUAGUGCUGUAGAUAAUACUUAAUUUUUGUAAAUUUUAUCUCCAAAAUAGAGGUAAAAAAUUUUUUUCAAUUGAAAAUUUUCUUUUUCUAAAUCCAUAGUACUGUAGUACUUGAUCAUUUUGUUAAUUUUAGUGCUAAAAUAGAGGUGAAAUUUUUUUUGGCAGGUAAUUUUGUUGUCGAAAUAGUGGUAAAAUUUUUUGUUUUACUUGAUCGAAAAUCUUUUUUUCAAUCAAUAGUACCUACUGUAAUGCUCAAUUUUUGUCAAUUUUAUUGUCAAAAUGGAGGUAAAAAAUUUUUUUAAUCAAAAUUUUUUUGGGAAUUUUAUUGCCAAAAUGGUGGUAAGUAAACAUUGUUUUUAAAUCGGUACUACUGUAAUACUUGAUUAUUUUGUCAAUUUUAUUGCUAAAAUGGAGGAAAAAUUUUUUUUGAUUGAAAUUUUAAAUAGUGGUAAGAUUUUCUGUUUCAAUCAAAAAUCAUUUUUUUCAAUCAAUAGUAGGUACUAGAGCUGAAAACGGUACUCGCUGACAGCGGGUAACUGUCGUAUCCGUAUCAUAAAUUCUCGCUACUCACUAGUAGCAGGUAGCUAGUUGAAAAAAUGUCGCACCAGUUCACGAUAUAACUAGUAGCGCAUUGAAUGCGUAGCCGGUGUACUGGCAUGACAUCAUCAUUGUCAUCAAUCAUGUCAAACGCCAAUCACACAUACGAACGACAGGUGUCGAAGCGUAACUCCUCCCACUUACACAUUAUCAAAUUUUGGGGUGCGUGCGCAGACCAAGUGCGAAAACAUUCGGGUUAUACUCGCUAUACGCUACUAUCUAUAUCCGAAUCAACCCGAUACAACCACUAGCGGGUUUAGCCGGUAUUUUAACCAGAUACCAGUUAGCGGGUAGCAUAACCGUUUUCAGCUCCAGUAGGUACCUACUGUAAUGUUUGAUUUUUUUUCAAUUUUAUUGCCAAAAUGAAAGUGAAACAUUUUUUUUUGAUCAACAAUUUUUUGUCAUGGUAAUUUUGUUGCCAAAAUAGUGGUAAAAUUUUUUGUUUUACUUAAUCAAAAAUCUUUUUUUUUCAAUUAAUAGUACCUACUGUAAUGCUCAAUUUUUGUCAAUUUUAUUUUAAUUUUCAUCACCAAAAUGGAGGUAAAAAAUUUUUUGUAAUCAAAAUUUUUUUGGUAAUUUUAUUGCUGAAAUAGUGGUAAGAAUUUUUUUUAUUCAAAAACUUUUUCUUCUUAUUUUUGUUGUCUCGAGAAAUUAUUAUUUUUUCGCUUGUAUGGGUUUCUAGCCAAAGGAAGUAUAGCUUGAUGAGGGGGCUGCCCUUUGAGCCGUCAAGCUGACUUUCCCAAAGUUCGGUUAUAGCACCGAAUUCUUGACCAGAUGGGCUGAACAGCUCACCGGAUCAAAGUUCAAUGAUGAUGAUGAUCUUUUUUUUCAAUCAAUAGUAUUGUAAUACUUAAUUUUUGUUAAAAAUACAGGUAAAAUUUUUGAUAA